GGAGUUGUGGCUCAGUGGUAGAGCACUUGCCUAGCAUGUGCAAGGCCCUGGGUUCGAUUCUCAGCACCA
This 69-nucleotide transfer RNA is filed under the name Ictidomys tridecemlineatus (thirteen-lined ground squirrel). RNAcentral describes it as "Spermophilus tridecemlineatus (thirteen-lined ground squirrel) tRNA". It matches the Rfam family "tRNA". From Rfam's summary of the family: Transfer RNA (tRNA) molecules are approximately 80 nucleotides in length. Their secondary structure includes four short double-helical elements and three loops (D, anti-codon, and T loops). Further hydrogen bonds mediate the characteristic L-shaped molecular structure. tRNAs have two regions of fundamental functional importance: the anti-codon, which is responsible for specific mRNA codon recognition, and the 3' end, to which the tRNAs corresponding amino acid is attached (by aminoacyl-tRNA synthetases). tRNAs cope with the degeneracy of the genetic code in two manners: having more than one tRNA (with a specific anti-codon) for a particular amino acid; and 'wobble' base-pairing, i.e. permitting non-standard base-pairing at the 3rd anti-codon position. Lineage: Eukaryota; Metazoa; Chordata; Mammalia; Rodentia; Sciuridae. The record is from Rfam by way of RNAcentral.